Molecule: ribosomal RNA, 483 nt
Filed under: uncultured bacterium
Lineage: Bacteria
Description: partial 16S ribosomal RNA
Rfam family: Bacterial small subunit ribosomal RNA
Source: RNAcentral
AUUGAACGCUGGCGGCAGGCCUAACACAUGCAAGUCGAGCGGAUGAAGGGAGCUUGCACCUGGAGUCAGCGGCGGACGGGGGAGUAAUGCCCAGGAAUCUGCCUGGUAGUGGGGGAUAACGUCCGGUAACGGGCGCUACUACCGCAUACGUCCUGAGGGAGAAAGUGGGGAUCUUCGGACCUCACGCUAUCAGAUGGGCCUAGGUCGGAUUAGCUAGUUGGUGGGGUAAAGGCCUACCAAGGCGACGAUCCGUAACUGGUCUGAGAGGAUGAACAGUCACACUGGAAGUGAGACACGGUCCAGACUCCUGCGGGAGGCCGCAGUGGGGAAUAUUGGACGAGGGGCGAGUGCCUGAUCCAGCCAUGCCGCGUGUGGGAAGAAGGUCUUCGGAUUGUAAAGCACUGUAAGUUGUGGGGAAGUGCAGUAAGUUUAUCCCUGGCUGUUUUGACGUUACCAACAGAAUAAGCACCGGCUAACUUCGUG